This 666-nucleotide ribosomal RNA is filed under the name uncultured Pseudomonadota bacterium. RNAcentral's name for it is "bacterial SSU rRNA". It matches the Rfam family "Bacterial small subunit ribosomal RNA", at positions 50 to 705 of the family's 1533-position model. The record is from RNAcentral. Lineage: Bacteria; Pseudomonadati; Pseudomonadota.
AACACAUGCAAGUCGAACGGUAACAGGAAGAAGCUUGCUUCUUUGCUGACGAGUGGCGGACGGGUGAGUAAUGUCUGGGAAACUGCCUGAUGGAGGGGGAUAACUACUGGAAACGGUAGCUAAUACCGCAUAACGUCGCAAGACCAAAGAGGGGGACCUUCGGGCCUCUUGCCAUCGGAUGUGCCCAGAUGGGAUUAGCUAGUAGGUGGGGUAACGGCUCACCUAGGCGACGAUCCCUAGCUGGUCUGAGAGGAUGACCAGCCACACUGGAACUGAGACACGGUCCAGACUCCUACGGGAGGCAGCAGUGGGGAAUAUUGCACAAUGGGCGCAAGCCUGAUGCAGCCAUGCCGCGUGUAUGAAGAAGGCCUUCGGGUUGUAAAGUACUUUCAGCGGGGAGGAAGGGAGUAAAGUUAAUACCUUUGCUCAUUGACGUUACCCGCAGAAGAAGCACCGGCUAACUCCGUGCCAGCAGCCGCGGUAAUACGGAGGGUGCAAGCGUUAAUCGGAAUUACUGGGCGUAAAGCGCACGCAGGCGGUUUGUUAAGUCAGAUGUGAAAUCCCCGGGCUCAACCUGGGAACUGCAUCUGAUACUGGCAAGCUUGAGUCUCGUAGAGGGGGGUAGAAUUCCAGGUGUAGCGGUGAAAUGCGUAGAGAUCUGGAGGA